GACGAACGCUGGCGGCGUGCCUAAUACAUGCAAGUAGAACGCUGAAGAGAGGAGCUUACUCUUCUUGGAUGAGUUGCGAACGGGUGAGUAACGCGUAGGUAACCUGCCUUGUAGCGGGGGAUAACUAUUGGAAACGAUAGCUAAUACCGCAUAACAAUGGAUGACACAUGUCAUUUAUUUGAAAGGGGCAAUUGCUCCACUACAAGAUGGACCUGCGUUGUAUUAGCUAGUAGGUGAGGUAAUGGCUCACCUAGGCGACGAUACAUAGCCGACCCGAGAGGGUGAUCGGCCACACUGGGACUGAGACACGGCCCAGACUCCUACGGGAGGCAGCAGUAGGGAAUCUUCGGCAAUGGGGGCAACCCUGACCGAGCAACGCCGCGUGAGUGAAGAAGGUUUUCGGAUCGUAAAGCUCUGUUGUAAGUCAAGAACGGGUGUGAGAGUGGAAAGUUCACACUGUGACGGUAGCUUACCAGAAAGGGACGGCUAACUACGUG
This 497-nucleotide ribosomal RNA is filed under the name uncultured bacterium. Its description in RNAcentral is "partial 16S ribosomal RNA". It matches the Rfam family "Bacterial small subunit ribosomal RNA", at positions 28 to 507 of the family's 1533-position model. The record is from RNAcentral.